This 5806-nucleotide long non-coding RNA is filed under the name Canis lupus familiaris (dog). RNAcentral describes it as "lncRNA (ENSCAFG00000050421.1)". Lineage: Eukaryota; Metazoa; Chordata; Mammalia; Carnivora; Canidae. The record is from RNAcentral.
UUUUUUGUUUUUGUUUUUGUUUUUGUUUUUUGCCAUGUGUGAUUAGAGAGUUUGCUUCAAUGCUGACAGUCUUUAGAGAAGUAUUUGAUUAUGUUUUCUCAGAUCUUGUAUUUUGUUUCUCAAGCCUCCAUUUCUGUCUGUUCAUUUUGGAAGUAGUACAUUUAAGAUUUUCAACAAUUGAGUAUCUUUGGAAUAUUCUCUGGUUCCCUUCUUAUUCUUACAAAAAUAUAUUCAGUAUAGUUGAUAGUGUUUCUUUCAAAUUGUUCAUUUUUCUAACUCAGGAUUUAGAACCACAUGUCUAAUUUUUCUUGACCAGUCUCCAUUUCUUGUCAUCAAGCUUCUGGUCUCCUAUUACCUUUUAGGUCUAAUUGGCUAUUCUAAUAAAGAGCUUCUAACAGAUUUUUUUUCUAGUAUGUCUUAUCUUUUGACUGCAUGCUAGUAGCAGACUGUUAGCUGUUUUGAUCUUUUAUAAUAUUCUACACUGCAUGCUUACUACUCCUCUUUUGCUGAAAGUGGUGCCCACAUACAGCGCAGUAAAAUGAUGUAGUACCCAACCAACAUGGACAUAGCAAAAAUUUGAAGGAAAGAGACACCUCUGGACCUGAGCAAUGGUCACUGGACCCAGUCUCCAAAAAGCCCUGAGUUGAAACAGAUCUAGUUGUGUGCAUGAAGCAGGAAGGAUGGAAGAGACGUGACUGCUGAAGCUUGAUCUACAUUGAGGUAGAGAUGGCUUCCUGUCGCAAGUAGCCUCUCAACUGCCAGCUGAUGGAGAAACUCUAGGUCUGCUCUUCUGGUUCACCAGGGCAGCUUUACCACAUCCACUCGUUGGCAUUGCAGUUUGACCCCUUCAGGGACCCACAGUUGUCAGAUAUUACUUCUCUGCAGAACAAUUACACCAACAUAGAAACAAGCUCCUAGGAAAGAGCUGUCACCAUCACCUACUCAGAGACUGUUCACUGGAAGGACCCAUGAGCCACUCAGUUCGUUCUGAGUUUUUAUGAGAAGGCCUCUGACUGCAGGGCCCCCUGGAUGUUUCCAUCUUUGCCAGGCCUACUUUUCUCUUUCUCUUUCUUAGAAUCAGAGUUUGGAGCACACAGCAUAGUGAAAAGUCAUCCUAUCCUUACAAGGCAAGACAGAGAGGCCUUUCCUAGCAGGAGGGAGAGAGCAGAUGGAAAGUUCAUCUUCUUCCUGCGGCAGAUAGACUCUCUGACACCUGGAGGGAUUUGACAUUCCUCCUAGCAACCAGCUUAACAGGAAAGGCAUACAUACGUCCCUCCCCCCCUCCUCACCUCGCUUCCUUCUCUCCCUGUUUCUGGGCUCUGUACCUUCAGAACCUAUUUUAAUUAUGCUAUGAUUUCUGCCUCCCCUCUUCUCUGUUGGAAAUGAAACGACCUGGAAACCACUUACCUUUUACUGAAUGAAGUAAAAGAGCUAAAAACUGCCCAUAAAAAUGAAAGCAUAAAUGAGGUACGAUACUAAUAGUAAUGAAAAGAUACUGAAUUAAAAACUGACAGAGAAAAAAAAUAAAAAAUAAAAACUGACAGAGAGAAAAAAAGGGAAAAAGAGAGGCAAGAGAGAAACAAAACAAUAACCUAGAUGACCUAUUUUUAGAAAAGCAACAUCAGAGAAAAUAAAUAUUAUUUAUAUUCGUGUAGAUUUCUAUGGAAUCAAAUUUGUAGAGAGAUCUUUUCUGAUUCUUUCUGAAUAAUCAGAGCUGUACAUACAAUUAAGAGGACAUUCAGGACAGCCCGGGUGGCUCAGCGGUUUAGCGCCACCUUCGGCCCAAGGCGUGAUCUUGGAGACCUGGGAUUGAGUCCCACAUCGGGCUCCCUGCAUGGAGCCUGCUUCUCCCUCUGCCUGUGUCUCUGCCUCUCUGUCUCUGUGUGUCUCUCAUGAAUAAAUAAAAAUUUUUUUUUUUUUUUAAAAGAGGACAUUCAAAGAAGUGUAACACCAUGGCAGGUGCUGAACCCACCUGCAGAGGGUUGCCCAUCUCCUCCAAACUAUGAAGAGUUUUUGGUUCAACUUUAAUAUAAUCAAGACAGAAUGAUCAGAGAGAAAGAGCAAGCAGGCAGUUCACUGGCGGAACAUGUGUGAGUUCUUACCAUUCACUCUCUAAAAUCACAACUGUCUUAGAUAAAAAAGAACAAAACCACUCUGUUAAAGAGAAGCUUGGUGCUAUAGAGAGUUUAAAAUGUACUCCAGAACUGUCUCCACCAUUCUAAAUCCUUCCCAGUGUUGUACAGCAAAGGAUCCCAAUCCUAAGAAACAUUAAAUCAAAUUUCUGUAAUGGAAAAUAUAAAAUAUGAAAAUGUAUUAUGAAGCGACAGUAAUUAAAUCAGAACUGGUUGCAGGAAUACAUGAACGGACCAAUGAGGCAGACAUCAAGUCCAGGGAUAGAUUCAAAUGCAUAAAGUAAUCUAAUGUAAAAUAAAGGUAACAUGGCAAACCAGUGGGGAAAAAUUGUUCAUGUGAUAAUUGGUAUUGAGAUAAUUGGCUGGUCACUGGGAAAUAAAUAAGCUUAUUCCCUACUUCAGUUCUUAUACUAAGUAAAUUAGAGAUGGAUAUAAGAUUUCUGUGUAUGCUAAAUAUAUUGAAAAAAGUUUUCAGAAUAUCUGCUGGAACCGAUCAUGCCACUAAUCAAAUAAAGAUGCAGAAAUGUAAAACAGACCUACUAAAAACAAAACAAAACAGAAAACCAGACCUACUUUUCCAAAGCAUAUUUAUUUUUAAGAGAAUUUUAUUUUUAAGGAAUUCUGCAUGUAUUCUCUGAAGGAGCAUUACUAUGGGACGUGGCUUAUCAAAUGAUGAACUCAACCUCAGAUUCCAUAUAGGAGCCUUUCAUGUUUAAAAAAUAAGUCAACUAGUCCUUUUGGCCUCAUGAAAACUAAACCCUACCCAAAGCAUCAGGAAAGGGUAGUUCUUUGCAUAGGGGGUCACAGUUAAGGUUGAGCCAAUUAUGACAUCCAUCAACACAAGGUAACAUUAGUAGAGUACACAUGCUUGGAGACUUUAUGAUUUAACCCGUUUACUGAACCAACAGAUAUGGUUUAUACUGGGAAUUUUGAUUUUGAUCAAGAUGAACUAUUUUAUUCAACAGGCUUAUUCAACACCAGUCACAUGUGUAACAUCUGUACUUCCGUGUUUCAGAUAUUGCUAAUUAGGGUUAUCUGGCUAACUAAGUCAGCGGACCAUGUGACACUUGAUUUCAGGGUUAUGAGUUCAAGCCCCACGUUGGGUGCACAGAUGGCUUAAAAAAUAAAAUCUUUUAAAAAUUAUUAAUAAUAGUUUGAUAAUGAUAUCUUAGAUAUGACACCCAAAGGCCAGGCAACAAAAGAAAAAAGACUUCAUGAGAAUUUAAAAGUUUUGUACAUCAACAGAUAAAAAAGUCGACCCACAGAGUGAGAGAAAAUAUUUGCAAAUCAUGUAUCUAAUAAGGGAUUAACAACCAGAAUAUAGAGAGAACUCCUAAAAGUCAGCAACAAAAAAACAAAGAACCCAAUUCAAAGAUGAGUAAAGGAGUGAAAAGACAUUUCUCCAAAGAAGACACAUAAAUGGCCAGUUAGCACAGGAAAAGAUGCUCCACAUGACUCAUCAUUGGGGAAAAGCAAAUCAAACUACAAUGAGGUACCAUCUCAUACCCAUUAGGAUGGAUACCAUAAGAAAAAGGAAAAAAAAAAACAAAAAUAAAAACAAAAUAAUAAGUGUUGGUAGGAAUAUGGAGAAGCUGGAUCUCUUGUUCACUGUUGGUGAGAAUGUAAAACAGUAGACCUGCUGUGCAAAACAGUAUGGUAGAUCCCUCCAAAAUUGAAAAUAGAACAAUCAUAUGCAUCUGCACACCUACUUUCACAGCAGCAUUAUUCACAAGAGCUAAAACAUGGGAGUCAUCCAAGGGUCAAUCAAAAGAUAAGUAGGUGAACAAAGUGAUUGUACAUAUGAUGGAAUAUUAUUCAACCAUAGAAAGUAAGAAAACGCUGACAUUUGCUAUCACAUGACUGAAGCUGAGGACAAAAACCACUCACAAAAGGCAAAUUCUAUAUGAUUCUACUUACUUGAGGAAUUUAGCAUAGUCAAAAUCAGAGAUAGAAGGUAGAAUGGUGGUUGCCAGGGGUAGAGGAGGAGAGGGAAGAAUAGGGAGUUCUUAUUUAUCAGGUACAGAGUUUCAGUUUUACAGAUUGAAAGCAUUCUAGAGAUGGGUGGUGGUGAUGAUUGCACAACAAGAUGAACGUACUAGUGACCACUGAACUGUAUACACUUGAAAGUGGUUAAGUACAUUUUAUGCAAUGUCUAUUUUACCACAAUAAAAAUAUUGGAGAAAAUUACUAAUAAGAAAAAUAUCAACAGUCCACAAUCAAUCAUCCCACUUACCUGAGGGAAGAUUAACAUGGUUAAGGACUCCAAGUGGUCUGAUGAAAUAUAUAUAAAAGGACAGAAUAAAGGGGAUAAAGACUAAAUAAAUGAGGACAUUGAGGCCCAGGCAAGAUGAAGGCUAGGAAAUGAAUAAAACAAACGAUAAGACUAAUACAAAAAACCCCCCCACAAAUUAAUAGUUGGCAUUUGCUGAGCUCUUAGGAAGCACCUGGCCUGAGUACUUUACUCAUUCACUCAUUUAUUUAUUUAUUUAUUUAAAGAUUUUUUUUUUAAUUUUUAUUUAUUUAUGAUAGUCACAGAGAGAGAGAGAGAGAGGCAGAGACACAGGCAGAGGGAGAAGCAGGCUCCAUGCACCGGGAGCCCGACGUGGGAUUUGAUCCCGGGUCUCCAGGAUCGCGCCCUGGGCCAAAGGCAGGCGCUAAACCACUGCGCCACCCAGGGAUCCCUCAUUCACUCAUUUAAUCUCCCAAGCAAACUCUGAGGUAAGCAGUAUUUUUUUUUUUUUUUGAGGAGUACUAAUUAAUUCAGUAGACUAAGCAGAGAAUACUACCUGCAGAGAGGGAAGAGCAAGUAUAAAAGCAGAAAAAAAAAUAGUAGAAUGUGACCGUACAGAAGAGCUGGAUAUUGUUCCCUGUUCUGUUUUUGGCACAGUAUGAAGGAAGACUUCAAGUUGCACUUAUUUCUAUUUUGUCUUAACUUUCUCUCUUUUUUACUACUAUCUAUCAUCUAUCUAUUAGCUUGUUUGCCCAAUCCCAGGAUACAUGUAUAGUGAUGUCAGAAUGUUAACCUGUACUCUCAUGGGAAAUGACUUUAUUAACUAUAGUCCUGUGCUUCUAUAAAGUUUCUGUCCUGUGGUCCUUAGUAUUGUAGUCUUUACUCAUUAUCUAAGGCACAUAGGCAAAUUUUCCCCAACUCCCUUUAAUGAAAUUGUGUCAUAUAUCUGUAACACCGAUUUUUUUUUAAUUUUCAAAAAUAAAUUUGUACACCACUACCCCCACCCCCAGAUCCUUUUAUCAUCCCAUUUUACAGAUGAGGAACAGACCCAGAGAGGCUGAGCAACUGGCCCAACUUCAUAGCUAACAUGGUGGAGGUGGGAUUGAACCAAAGCAUUGAUCUAGAGUCUACAUUCUCAGUCGCUGCAUUAAGCACAUUAAGUGAAUACAUGUGCUAUCAACAUGGACAGAGGCGGGCCACAAAUCUGACUCUGUCUUCUAAUAGCCAAAGAGAAAGUGUGAUCAGAACUUACUUUAAGGGAUGCCUCUGUGGCUCAAUGGAUGAGUGUCUGCCUUUGGCUUAGGUCGUGAUCCCUGGGUCCUGGGAUCCAGUCCCUCAUUGGGCUCCUCACCGGGAGCCUGCUUCUCCCUCUGCCUAUGUCUCUGCCUCUCUCUCUGUGUCUCUCAUGAAUAAAUAAAUAAAAUCUUAAAAAAAAAAAAAAAAA